UUUGUCGCGUUGUUCGUGAAAUCUCACGGCUUAACUGUGAGCGUGCGGGCGAUACGGGCAGACUUGAGUACUGCAGGGGAGACUGGAAUUCCUGGUGUAGCGGUGGAAUGCGCAGAUAUCAGGAGGAACACCGGUGGCGAAGGCGGGUCUCUGGGCAGUAACUGACGCUGAGGAGCGAAAGCGUGGGGAGCGAACAGGAUUAGAUACCCUGGUAGUCCACGCCGUAAACGGUGGGUACUAGGUGUGGGUUUCCUUCCUUGGGAUCCGUGCCGUAGCUAACGCAUUAAGUACCCCGCCUGGGGAGUACGGCCGCAAGGCUAAAACUCAAAGAAAUUGACGGGGGCCCGCACAAGCGGCGGAGCAUGUGGAUUAAUUCGAUGCAACGCGAAGAACCUUACCUGGGUUUGACAUGCACAGGACGCCGGCAGAGAUGUCGGUUCCCUUGUGGCCUGUGUGCAGGUGGUGCAUGGCUGUCGUCAGCUCGUGUCGUGAGAUGUUGGGUUAAGUCCCGCAACGAGCGCAACCCUUGUCUCAUGUUGCCAGCGGGUAAUGCCGGGGACUCGUGAGAGACUGCCGGGGUCAACUCGGAGGAAGGUGGGGAUGACGUCAAGUCAUCAUGCCCCUUAUGUCCAGGGCUUCACACAUGCUACAAUGGCCGGUACAAAGGGCUGCGAUGCCACGAGGUUAAGCGAAUCCUUUUAAAGCCGGUCUCAGUUCGGAUCGGGGUCUGCAACUCGACCCCGUGAAGUCGGAG
This 754-nucleotide ribosomal RNA is filed under the name uncultured bacterium. RNAcentral describes it as "bacterial SSU rRNA". It matches the Rfam family "Bacterial small subunit ribosomal RNA", at positions 579 to 1331 of the family's 1533-position model. The record is from RNAcentral.